RNAcentral lists this ribosomal RNA (460 nucleotides) under uncultured bacterium. RNAcentral describes it as "partial 16S ribosomal RNA". It matches the Rfam family "Bacterial small subunit ribosomal RNA", at positions 338 to 795 of the family's 1533-position model. The record is from RNAcentral.
CCUACGGGUGGCAGCAGUGAGGAAUAUUGGUCAAUGGACGAGAGUCUGAACCAGCCAAGUAGCGUGAAGGAUGACUGCCCUAUGGGUUGUAAACUUCUUUUAUAUGGCAAUAAAUUGUUCCACGUGUGGGAUUUUGUAUGUACCAUAUGAAUAAGGAUCGGCUAACUCCGUGCCAGCAGCCGCGGUAAUACGGAGGAUCCGAGCGUUAUCCGGAUUUAUUGGGUUUAAAGGGAGCGUAGGUGGAUUGUUAAGUCAGUUGUGAAAGUUUGCGGCUCAACCGUAAAAUUGCAGUUGAAACUGGCAGUCUUGAGUACAGUAGAGGUGGGCGGAAUUCGUGGUGUAGCGGUGAAAUGCUUAGAUAUCACGAAGAACUCCGAUUGCGAAGGCAGUUCACUGGACUGCAACUGACACUGAGGCUCGAAAGUGUGGGUAUCAAACAGGAUUAGAUACCCUUGUAGUC